Molecule: ribosomal RNA, 433 nt
Filed under: uncultured bacterium
Lineage: Bacteria
Description: partial 16S ribosomal RNA
Rfam family: Bacterial small subunit ribosomal RNA
Source: RNAcentral
AGCGAACGCUGGCGGCAGGCCUAACACAUGCAAGUCGAACGAACUCUUCGGAGUUAGUGGCGGACGGGUGAGUAACACGUGGGAACGUGCCUUUUGGUUCGGAAUAACUCAGGGAAACUUGUGCUAAUACCGAAUGUGCCCUUCGGGGGAAAGAUUUAUCGCCAUUAGAGCGGCCCGCGUCUGAUUAGCUAGUUGGGGAGGUAACGGCUGACCAAGGCGACGAUCAGUAGCUGGUCUGAGAGGAUGACCAGCCACACUGGGACUGGGACACGGCCCAGACUCCUACGCGAGGCAGCAGUGGGGAAUCUUGCGCAAUGGGCGAAAGCCUGACGCAGCCAUGCCGCGUGAAUGAUGAAGGUCGUAGGAUUGUAAAAUUCUUUCACCGGGGACGAUAAUGACGGUACCCGGAGAAGAAGCCCCGGCUAACUUCGUG